UACGGAGGGUGCAAGCGUUAAUCGGAAUUACUGGGCGUAAAGCGCACGCAGGCGGUUAAGUAAGUCAGGUGUGAAAGCCCCGGGCUUAACCUUGGAAUUGCAUCUGAAACUGGUUGGCUAGAGUUCUGUAGAGGGGGGUAGAAUUCCAUGUGUAGCGGUGAAAUGCGUAGAGAUGUGGAGGAAUACCGGUGGCGAAGGCGGCCCCCUGGACAAAGACUGACGCUCAGGUGCGAAAGCGUGGGGAGCAAACAGG
RNAcentral lists this ribosomal RNA (253 nucleotides) under uncultured bacterium. RNAcentral describes it as "partial 16S ribosomal RNA". It matches the Rfam family "Bacterial small subunit ribosomal RNA", at positions 524 to 776 of the family's 1533-position model. The record is from RNAcentral.